GCUGCCGGAUAGCUCACUCGGUUAAAGCAUCGCACUGCGACUGUCAUGGCGCGGGUUUGAACCCCGGUCGCACCA
Non-coding RNA from Gymnothorax javanicus (giant moray), 75 nucleotides. Lineage: Eukaryota; Metazoa; Chordata; Actinopteri; Anguilliformes; Muraenidae. The record is from the annotation of a GenBank genome assembly.